UGAGGAAUAUUGGACAAUGGGCGCAAGCCUGAUCCAGCCAUGCCGCGUGCAGGAAGAAGCAUCUAUGGUGUGUAAACUGCUUUUGUACGGGAAGAAACACUCCUACGUGUAGGAGCUUGACGGUACCGUAAGAAUAAGGAUCGGCUAACUCCGUGCCAGCAGCCGCGGUAAUACGGAGGAUCCAAGCGUUAUCCGGAAUCAUUGGGUUUAAAGGGUCCGUAGGCGGUUUAGUAAGUCAGUGGUGAAAGCCCAUCGCUCAACGAUGGAACGGCCAUUGAUACUGCUAGACUUGAAUUAUUAGGAAGUACCUAGAAUAUGUAGUGUAGCGGUGAAAUGCUUAGCUAUUUCAUGGUAUACCAAUUGCGAAUGAAGGUUACUACUAAUGGAUUGACGCUGAUGGACGAAAGCGUGGUUAGCGAACA
This 422-nucleotide ribosomal RNA is filed under the name uncultured bacterium. RNAcentral's name for it is "bacterial SSU rRNA". It matches the Rfam family "Bacterial small subunit ribosomal RNA", at positions 355 to 774 of the family's 1533-position model. The record is from RNAcentral.